GACGAACGCUGGCGGCGUGCUUAACACAUGCAAGUCGAACGGAAAGGCCUGCUUUCCCUUGUGGAUUGCGGGUGCUCGAGUGGCGAACGGGUGAGCAACACGUGAGUGAUCUGCCCCCAACUUGGGUAUAAGCCCGGGAAACUGGGUCUAAUUCCCGAUAGGACUGCAGGGUGGUGCCUGUGGUGGAAAACGAUUUUCUAGUGGUUGGGGAUGAGCUCGCGGCCUAUCAGCUUGUUGGUGGGGUAAUGGCCUACCAAGGCGGCGACGGGUAGCCGGCCUGAGAGGGUGGACGGCCACAUUGGGACUGAGAUACGGCCCAGACUCCUACGGGAGGCAGCAGUGGGGAAUAUUGCACAAUGGGCGGAAGCCUGAUGCAGCGACGCCGCGUGGGGGAUGACGGCCUUCGGGUUGUAAACUCCUUUCGACCGCGAGGAAGCCACCUGGUUGGAAGGGUGGUGACGGUAGUGGUAGAAGAAGCACCGGCUAACUACGUG
This 494-nucleotide ribosomal RNA is filed under the name uncultured bacterium. RNAcentral describes it as "partial 16S ribosomal RNA". It matches the Rfam family "Bacterial small subunit ribosomal RNA", at positions 28 to 507 of the family's 1533-position model. The record is from RNAcentral.